UUAAGCGACUAAGCGUACACGGUGGAUGCCCUGGCAGUCAGAGGCGAUGAAGGACGUGCUAAUCUGCGAUAAGCGUCGGUAAGGUGAUAUGAACCGUUAUAACCGGCGAUUUCCGAAUGGGGAAACCCAGUGUGAUUCGUCACACUAUCAUUAACUGAAUCCAUAGGUUAAUGAGGCGAACCGGGGGAACUGAAACAUCUAAGUACCCCGAGGAAAAGAAAUCAACCGAGAUUCCCCCAGUAGCGGCGAGCGAACGGGGAGCAGCCCAGAGCCUGAAUCAGUGUGUGUGUUAGUGGAAGCGUCUGGAAAGGCGCGCGAUACAGGGUGACAGCCCCGUACACAAAAAUGCACAUGCUGUGAGCUCGAUGAGUAGGGCGGGACACGUGGUAUCCUGUCUGAAUAUGGGGGGACCAUCCUCCAAGGCUAAAUACUCCUGACUGACCGAUAGUGAACCAGUACCGUGAGGGAAAGGCGAAAAGAACCCCGGCGAGGGGAGUGAAAAAGAACCUGAAACCGUGUACGUACAAGCAGUGGGAGCACAGAGCAAUCUGUGUGACUGCGUACCUUUUGUAUAAUGGGUCAGCGACUUAUAUUCUGUAGCAAGGUUAACCGAAUAGGGGAGCCGAAGGGAAACCGAGUCUUAACUGGGCGUUAAGUUGCAGGGUAUAGACCCGAAACCCGGUGAUCUAGCCAUGGGCAGGUUGAAGGUUGGGUAACACUAACUGGAGGACCGAACCGACUAAUGUUGAAAAAUUAGCGGAUGACUUGUGGCUGGGGGUGAAAGGCCAAUCAAACCGGGAGAUAGCUGGUUCUCCCCGAAAGCUAUUUAGGUAGCGCCUCGUGAAUUCAUCUCCGGGGGUAGAGCACUGUUUCGGCAAGGGGGUCAUCCCGACUUACCAACCCGAUGCAAACUGCGAAUACCGGAGAAUGUUAUCACGGGAGACACACGGCGGGUGCUAACGUCCGUCGUGAAGAGGGAAACAACCCAGACCGCCAGCUAAGGUCCCAAAGUCAUGGUUAAGUGGGAAACGAUGUGGGAAGGCCCAGACAGCCAGGAUGUUGGCUUAGAAGCAGCCAUCAUUUAAAGAAAGCGUAAUAGCUCACUGGUCGAGUCGGCCUGCGCGGAAGAUGUAACGGGGCUAAACCAUGCACCGAAGCUGCGGCAGCGACGCUUAUGCGUUGUUGGGUAGGGGAGCGUUCUGUAAGCCUGCGAAGGUGUGCUGUGAGGCAUGCUGGAGGUAUCAGAAGUGCGAAUGCUGACAUAAGUAACGAUAAAGCGGGUGAAAAGCCCGCUCGCCGGAAGACCAAGGGUUCCUGUCCAACGUUAAUCGGGGCAGGGUGAGUCGACCCCUAAGGCGAGGCCGAAAGGCGUAGUCGAUGGGAAACAGGUUAAUAUUCCUGUACUUGGUGUUACUGCGAAGGGGGGACGGAGAAGGCUAUGUUGGCCGGGCGACGGUUGUCCCGGUUUAAGCGUGUAGGCUGGUUUUCCAGGCAAAUCCGGAAAAUCAAGGCUGAGGCGUGAUGACGAGGCACUACGGUGCUGAAGCAACAAAUGCCCUGCUUCCAGGAAAAGCCUCUAAGCAUCAGGUAACAUCAAAUCGUACCCCAAACCGACACAGGUGGUCAGGUAGAGAAUACCAAGGCGCUUGAGAGAACUCGGGUGAAGGAACUAGGCAAAAUGGUGCCGUAACUUCGGGAGAAGGCACGCUGAUAUGUAGGUGAAGUCCCUCGCGGAUGGAGCUGAAAUCAGUCGAAGAUACCAGCUGGCUGCAACUGUUUAUUAAAAACACAGCACUGUGCAAACACGAAAGUGGACGUAUACGGUGUGACGCCUGCCCGGUGCCGGAAGGUUAAUUGAUGGGGUUAGCGCAAGCGAAGCUCUUGAUCGAAGCCCCGGUAAACGGCGGCCGUAACUAUAACGGUCCUAAGGUAGCGAAAUUCCUUGUCGGGUAAGUUCCGACCUGCACGAAUGGCGUAAUGAUGGCCAGGCUGUCUCCACCCGAGACUCAGUGAAAUUGAACUCGCUGUGAAGAUGCAGUGUACCCGCGGCAAGACGGAAAGACCCCGUGAACCUUUACUAUAGCUUGACACUGAACAUUGAGCCUUGAUGUGUAGGAUAGGUGGGAGGCUUUGAAGUGUGGACGCCAGUCUGCAUGGAGCCGACCUUGAAAUACCACCCUUUAAUGUUUGAUGUUCUAACGUUGACCCGUAAUCCGGGUUGCGGACAGUGUCUGGUGGGUAGUUUGACUGGGGCGGUCUCCUCCUAAAGAGUAACGGAGGAGCACGAAGGUUGGCUAAUCCUGGUCGGACAUCAGGAGGUUAGUGCAAUGGCAUAAGCCAGCUUGACUGCGAGCGUGACGGCGCGAGCAGGUGCGAAAGCAGGUCAUAGUGAUCCGGUGGUUCUGAAUGGAAGGGCCAUCGCUCAACGGAUAAAAGGUACUCCGGGGAUAACAGGCUGAUACCGCCCAAGAGUUCAUAUCGACGGCGGUGUUUGGCAC
This 2498-nucleotide ribosomal RNA is filed under the name human gut metagenome. RNAcentral describes it as "bacterial LSU rRNA". It matches the Rfam family "Bacterial large subunit ribosomal RNA", at positions 1 to 2524 of the family's 2925-position model. The record is from RNAcentral.